RNAcentral lists this ribosomal RNA (848 nucleotides) under Alvinella pompejana. Its description in RNAcentral is "bacterial SSU rRNA". It matches the Rfam family "Bacterial small subunit ribosomal RNA", at positions 19 to 883 of the family's 1533-position model. Lineage: Eukaryota; Metazoa; Annelida; Polychaeta; Terebellida; Alvinellidae. The record is from RNAcentral.
CUGGCUCAGAGUGAACGCUGGCGGCGUGCUUAACACAUGCAAGUCGAACGGUAACAGGUCUUUCGGGAUGCUGACGAGUGGCGAACGGGUGAGUAAAGUAUAGUUAAUUUGCCCCUUGGAGAGGGAUAGCCACUGGAAACGGUGAUUAAUACCUUAUACACCUGCCUAUCAAAAGAUAGGUUGGGAAACGGUUUGUUCUGCCAAGGGAUAAGACUAUAUCCUAUCAGCUAGUUGGUGAGGUAAAGGCUCACCAAGGCAAUGACGGGUAGCUGGUCUGAGAGGAUGGUCAGUCACACUGGAACUGAGACACGGUCCAGACUCCUACGGGAGGCAGCAGUGGGGAAUAUUGCACAAUGGGCGAAAGCCUGAUGCAGCAACGCCGCGUGGAGGAUGACGCAUUUCGGUGUGUAAACUCCUUUUUUAUGGGAAGAUAAUGACGGUACCAUAAGAAUAAGCAUCGGCUAACUCCGUGCCAGCAGCCGCGGUAAUACGGAGGAUGCAAGCGUUACUCGGAAUCACUGGGCGUAAAGCGCGCGCAGGCGGUUGGAUAAGUUGGAAGUGAAAGCCCACAGCUUAACUGUGGAACUGCUCCCAAAACUGUCCAACUAGAGUCUGGGAGGGGAAGAUGGAAUUAGUAGUGUAGGGGUAAAAUCCGUAGAGAUUACUAGGAAUACCANAAGCGAAGGCGAUCUUCUGGAACAGAACUGACGCUGAGGCGCGAAAGCGUGGGGAGCAAACAGGAUUAGAUACCCUGGUAGUCCACGCCCUAAACGAUGAAUGUUAGUCGUUGGAACACUAGUUGUUUCAGUGAUGCAGUUAACACAUUAAACAUUCCGCCUGGGGAGUAC